RNAcentral lists this long non-coding RNA (3260 nucleotides) under Daucus carota (carrot). Its description in RNAcentral is "long non-coding RNA (DCAR_LNC006442)". Lineage: Eukaryota; Viridiplantae; Streptophyta; Magnoliopsida; Apiales; Apiaceae. The record is from RNAcentral.
GAUAAAACCUACUAAGGCAGAUGGCAAACGCCUGGAAUGCCGAUAUUGGAUACCGGUAAUCCAUUGUAAACACAUCCUUGUCCACUUUACCAAAUUGUAGGAUAACCUCCUCAUGUUCAGGUGUGAUCCCUCCACCCUCAGCCGAAGCAACUAGCUGAAAGUUCACCACCGAGGCAAUUGUUACGCGUCCAUUAAAAUUUAAACACCAGCUCUGUAGCUGCUCAUUCCAUAUGGGAGAUUUAAUUUUUAAGAUGAGCUGUCCAUCUCUCUGACUACAUAAAGGUCCAGAAAAGAUAUCGUUCGUGCUGUUAGGUAAAGAUGGAGGGGUGUCAAUGCUACUUUGCCGGAACUCAGUCUGUGUUGGAGCCACACCUCCUGGUUUAAUAGCAGAAGGGGAAAUUGUGUCCAUGACGCANUUACCCUUAUGAAUUUCUGUUGUUGAAUAUGUAUUCUGGAUACUUCUAACUUCUCUUCUUAAUAGGAGGUCCCUCUUCGCGAUCUUGAAGAUAAGGUCGUCGGCUUGUAUUUUUGUAAGGGUGAUGAUGACCAUCACCUCACAGAAAAAAUUCUGGAGGCCUAUGAACAGUUGGUUAAAGUGAAAAACUUCGAAAUUGUGCUUGUUUACAUUCACUACUCAUUUUUGGGGUUUCAACAUACAAGCGAAGAAUCAUACUGGAAAUGUUUCGGAGAAAUGCCUUGGUUGGCCCUCCCGUAUAAAGACCCGGUUUGUAACACGUUGCAGCAGGUUUUCAAUCAUCCUAAGUAUGCAGAUCCAGACGGGUCAGAGCCAAACCCUAAUCUUGUGAUUAUUGGACCAGAAGGAAAAUUUGUUGAACGGUUUGGUGCUGACAUCCUACUGAAAUAUGGAAUUUCAGCAUAUCCUUUCACCCGCAAAAAAGUUGCCAAGUUAGAGGCUAAAAAGAUGAGGAACAGUAAUCUUUUCAAUGGUGGAAAUAAAAACAUUCCUCUCGUACGAACAGAUGGGUCCAUAGUAAGUUUUUUUUUUGCAUUUUUGUGCUUGGUUCUACGAUCCCUACUCUCUGCUUGUUUCUCAGUAGUUGAAUAAAUUCUGGUCAUUGACAUUUGUUUUCGACUUUACAGGUUCAGUUGUCACAACUUAUGGGGAAGAGAAUCAUGCUUAUCGCUGAGAAUGGUAUAGGGCUCAACAAUCCAGAUGCCAAGUUUUGGCGGAUUCUACGAGCGAGGUAUCUCCAAAUGAAGGGCACAAGUGAUGAGUUUGAAGUUAUUCACAUCUGUACAAAAGAAGGAUAUUCUUAUGGUAAGAAUAUUGCAACUACACCAUGGUUGACGCUUCCUGCACAUAGCAAGGGAUCAAGUGGAAGCAGUCUGUUAGGAAAUUUUACUUCUGUUGGGGGGCUUUUUGCUUUUGAUCGUGAUGGAAGCCUAGUCAGGAGAACAAGAUACCCAUCAAUUAAAUGGGAGAAGAUGGACUUUCCCUUUUAUUCUGGUGUUUGGAAGGAGGUGUUGAGGGAUAUAAUAGGAAGGUACCAAUGGAACUCUUUAAAUUAGUAUAUGGGGUUUGCUCUGAGCCUCUUACUAAUAGUAUCAGGUUAAGGUGUUUUAAUUUAUCUUUAACAAAAACAUGGUUAUUGUAUUGAUGUUAUGCCAAUGUUGGUACUAUGAAGUUUUAAAUGGAAGAGGGAAGAUGAUUAAUCAGUGAUGAAGUUUGAAAAACGGAGAAGUGAUGGCUAGAAAUCUAAUUUUGGAGGUCGGAUUUCAUUAAUCCUUAGUUUUGAUGUAAAUAUAAGGGAGAUUACAGUGUCUUUUAAUGAAAAAUCAUUCCCAGCUAUUUAUCUUCGCUGAUAAUACGUUACUAAUAGAUUGUUUCAAAUCAUUAUUCAAACGGAUAUAUAUCAGCAUUGCUAUCAGCAAACUCAUUCAAAAAAUGACAUCUUAUUCGUUUUGUUAUUAAAUUUUAUUUGUAUUUGAGGUAUAUCAUGUUAUGUUGAUAAGCAGUAGUAUUUCAUCAUUGCUACACAUUUGAAACUAUGAUUGCUUUUUCUUCUUUUUUUCCUAGACACGACUGAUUUUUGUUGUUCUGUUUAUCUCUAUGUUUGACACGUAUGAAGUGCUAACUCUGGAUCCAAAUAAUAAAAACUUUAAAAGAAAUUUAAAGAAUUAUGUUCACAAAAACAGCACAUAGGUCAUGAGACUAUACUUAUCUAUUCUCCCCAUGAAUUCACCGUUAUUAAGAUACGAGAGUUUAUCAAAAUCUCUCAAAUUUAUAAACUUCUGCGCUUAGCAUGUGCCUAUGGGCCCACACAAAACAAAUAUCUUUCAAAAUACGAGAUGAAAACAGUGUGCACGUAAACAAAACGGGGUGAUUAAUUAAUGCUCACAUUAAUGCAUAUACUAGUACUCAUGUACAUGUACACAAUCACACAUGGAUUAAGCAAUUUUGAAUUGCAUUUAGCAACACCAUGGAUAAAACCUACUAAGGCAGAUGGCAAACGCCUGGAAUGCCGAUAUUGGAUACCGGUAAUCCAUUGUAAACACAUCCUUGUCCACUUUACCAAAUUGUAGGAUAACCUCCUCAUGUUCAGGUGUGAUCCCUCCACCCUCAGCCGAAGCAACUAGCUGAAAGUUCACCACCGAGGCAAUUGUUACGCGUCCAUUAAAAUUUAAACACCAGCUCUGUAGCUGCUCAUUCCAUAUGGGAGAUUUAAUUUUUAAGAUGAGCUGUCCAUCUCUCUGACUACAUAAAGGUCCAGAAAAGAUAUCGUUCGUGCUGUUAGGUAAAGAUGGAGGGGUGUCAAUGCUACUUUGCCGGAACUCAGUCUGUGUUGGAGCCACACCUCCUGGUUUAAUAGCAGAAGGGGAAAUUGUGUCCAUGACGCAAUGCAUUCUUCUCCUGCUGAAUCCAACAAAGUAAUGUAAAGUAUUCCAGUCAAACCAAUACGUUUUACCCAUGGGGUAAGCUGUAUUAUAUCUAAACUUUGAACAGAACAUAGCUGCUUACCCUUCUACUUAUAACCUUAUUCUAUAAAACUUCUUUUGAAAUGUAUGCAAUAGAUUCACCUUUAGAAAAAAACUAUAUUUCCUGUGCAGAAAACUGUUGUACCCUCUUUUCACACACACUGCGGAUUGUAUACAUGCUAAAACUAUUUUAAUCUUACAUUUAUAUACUCUGAUAGAUUUGUGCAGCAUAAUUUCUUUGUGAUUGCUAUAUUGCUAUUUUUCUUUUUCUAAAUUGCUAUAAUACCAUUCAUAAACGAUAAUAAAAUAGAAUGAUGCAUGAG